This 674-nucleotide ribosomal RNA is filed under the name uncultured bacterium. RNAcentral's name for it is "bacterial SSU rRNA". It matches the Rfam family "Bacterial small subunit ribosomal RNA", at positions 94 to 803 of the family's 1533-position model. The record is from RNAcentral.
AGCGGCGGACGGGUGAGUAACGCGUGGGAAUAUGCCCUUCUCUAAGGAAUAGCCUCGGGAAACUGAGAGUAAUACCUUAUACGCCCUUCGGGGGAAAGAUUUAUCGGAGAAGGAUUAGCCCGCGUUAGAUUAGGUAGUUGGUGGGGUAAUGGCCUACCAAGCCUACGAUCUAUAGCUGGUUUGAGAGGAUGAUCAGCCACACUGGGACUGAGACACGGCCCAGACUCCUACGGGAGGCAGCAGUAGGGAAUCUUAGACAAUGGGGGAAACCCUGAUCUAGCCAUGCCGCGUGUGUGAUGAAGGCCUUAGGGUCGUAAAGCACUUUCGCCAGAGAUGAUAAUGACAGUAUCUGGUAAAGAAACCCCGGCUAACUCCGUGCCAGCAGCCGCGGUAAUACGGAGGGGGUUAGCGUUGUUCGGAAUUACUGGGCGUAAAGCGUACGUAGGCGGAUUAGUAAGUUAGAGGUGAAAUCCCAGGGCUCAACCCUGGAACUGCCUUUAAUACUGCUAGUCUUGAGUUCGAGAGAGGUAAGUGGAAUUCCGAGUGUAGAGGUGAAAUUCGUAGAUAUUCGGAGGAACACCAGUGGCGAAGGCGGCUUACUGGCUCGAUACUGACGCUGAGGUACGAAAGUGUGGGGAGCAAACAGGAUAAGAUACCCUGGUAGUCCACACCGU